RNAcentral lists this unclassified non-coding RNA (147 nucleotides) under soil metagenome. RNAcentral's name for it is "partial internal transcribed spacer 1". The record is from RNAcentral.
CCGAGUUUACAACUCCCAAACCCCUGUGAACAUACCUAUAUGUUGCCUCGGCGGAUCAGCCCGCGCCCCGUAAAACGGGACGGCCCGCCGCAGGAUCCACAAACUCUGUUUUUAUUGUAACUUCUGAGUAACAAAACAAAUAAGUCA